UGGCGAACGGGUGAGUAACACGUGGGUAACCUGCCCAUCAGAAGGGGAUAACACUUGGAAACAGGUGCUAAUACCGUAUAACACUAUUUUCCGCAUGGAAGGAAGUUGAAAGGCGCUUUUGCGUCACUGAUGGAUGGACCCGCGGUGCAUUAGCUAGUUGGUGAGGUAACGGCUCACCAAGGCAACGAUGCAUAGCCGACCUGAGAGGGUGAUCGGCCACACUGGGACUGAGACACGGCCCAGACUCCUACGGGAGGCAGCAGUAGGGAAUCUUCGGCAAUGGACGAAAGUCUGACCGAGCAAACGCCGCGUGAGUGAAGAAGGUUUUCGGAUCGUAAAAACUUCUGU
RNAcentral lists this ribosomal RNA (348 nucleotides) under Enterococcus casseliflavus. Its description in RNAcentral is "bacterial SSU rRNA". It matches the Rfam family "Bacterial small subunit ribosomal RNA", at positions 96 to 436 of the family's 1533-position model. Lineage: Bacteria; Bacillati; Bacillota; Bacilli; Lactobacillales; Enterococcaceae. The record is from RNAcentral.